ACACAUGCAAGUCGAGGGGCAGCAUCAUCAAAGCUUGCUUUGAUGGAUGGCGACCGGCGCACGGGUGAGUAACACGUAUCCAACCUGCCGACAACACUGGGAUAGCCUUUCGAAAGAAAGAUUAAUACCGGAUGGCAUAGUUUUCCCGCAUGGGAUAAUUAUUAAAGAAUUUCGGUUGUCGAUGGGGAUGCGUUCCAUUAGGCAGUUGGCGGGGUAACGGCCCACCAAACCUACGAUGGAUAGGGGUUCUGAGAGGAAGGUCCCCCACAUUGGAACUGAGACACGGUCCAAACUCCUACGGGAGGCAGCAGUGAGGAAUAUUGGUCAAUGGACGAGAGUCUGAACCAGCCAAGUAGCGUGAAGGAUGACUGCCCUAUGGGUUGUAAACUUCUUUUAUACGGGAAUAAAGUGAGCCACGUGUGGCUUUUUGUAUGUACCGUAUGAAUAAGGAUCGGCUAACUCCGUGCCAGCAGCCGCGGUAAUACGGAGGAUUCGAGCGUUAUCCGGAUUUAUUGGGUUUAAAGGGAGCGUAGGCGGGUUGUUAAGUCAGUUGUGAAAGUUUGCGGCUCAACCGUGAAAUUGCAGUUGAUACUGGCGACCUUGAGUGCAACAGAGGUAGGCGGAAUUCGUGGUGUAGCGGUGAAAUGCUUAGAUAUCACGAAGAACUCCGAUUGCGAAGGCAGCUUACUGGAUUGUAACUGACGCUGAUGCUCGAAAGUGUGGGUAUCAAACAGGAUUAGAUACCCUGGUAGUCCACACAGUAAACGAUGAAUACUCGCUGUUGGCGAUAUACAGUCAGCGGCCAAGCGAAAGCAUUAAGUAUUCCACCUGGGGAGUACGCCGGCA
This 846-nucleotide ribosomal RNA is filed under the name uncultured bacterium. RNAcentral describes it as "bacterial SSU rRNA". It matches the Rfam family "Bacterial small subunit ribosomal RNA", at positions 51 to 890 of the family's 1533-position model. The record is from RNAcentral.